Molecule: ribosomal RNA, 611 nt
Filed under: uncultured fungus
Lineage: Eukaryota; Fungi
Description: eukaryotic LSU rRNA
Rfam family: Eukaryotic large subunit ribosomal RNA
Source: RNAcentral
AGCAUAUCAAUAAGCGGAGGAAAAGAAACUAACAAGGAUUCCCCUAGUAACUGCGAGUGAAGCGGGAAAAGCUCAAAUUUAAAAUCUGGCGUCUUCGGCGUCCGAGUUGUAUUCUGGAGAAGCGUCUUCCGCGUUGGACCGUGUACAAGUUUCUUGGAACAGAACAUCAUAGAGGGUGAGAAUCCCGUCUUUGACACGGACUACCAAUGCUUUGUGAUGCGCUCUCAAAGAGUCGCGUUGUUUGGGAAUGCAGCGCAAAAUGGGUGGUAUAUUCCAUCUAAAGCUAAAUAUUGGCGAGAGACCGAUAGCGAACAAGUACCGUGAGGGAAAGAUGAAAAGCACUUUGGAAAGAGAGUUAAACAGUACGUGAAAUUGUUGAAAGGGAAACGAUUGAAGUCAGUCGCGUUGUAUGAGACUCAGCCUUGCUUCUGCUUGGUGUAUUUCUUGUUCAACGGGCCAGCAUCGAUUUUAGUUGUUGGAUAAAGUUGAGAGGAAUGUGGCAUCUUCGGAUGUGUUAUAGCCUUUCUUCGCAUACAACAGCCGGGAUCGAGGUCUGCAGCACGCCUUUUGGCCGGGGUUCGCCCACGUACGUGCUUAGGAUGCUGGCGUAA